This 910-nucleotide ribosomal RNA is filed under the name uncultured bacterium. Its description in RNAcentral is "bacterial SSU rRNA". It matches the Rfam family "Bacterial small subunit ribosomal RNA", at positions 8 to 916 of the family's 1533-position model. The record is from RNAcentral.
AGAGUUUGAUCCUGGCUCAGGAUGAACGCUAGCGGCAGGCCUAACACAUGCAAGUCGAACGGGAUCCGGGGGCAACCCUGGUGAGAGUGGCGCACGGGUGAGUAACGCGUAUGCAACCUACCUGUAACAGGGGGAUAGCUCCCCGAAAGGGGAAUUAAUACCGCAUAAUACUAAUGGAUGGCAUCAUUUGUUAGUAAAAACCACGGUGGUUACAGAUGGGCAUGCGUGCCAUUAGCUAGUUGGUAAGGUAACGGCUUACCAAGGCGACGAUGGCUAGGGGGUCUUAAAGGAUGGUCCCCCACACUGGUACUGAGACACGGACCAGACUCCUACGGGAGGCAGCAGUGAGGAAUAUUGGGCAAUGGGCGCAAGCCUGACCCAGCCAUGCCGCGUGCAGGAAGACGGCCCUACGGGUUGUAAACUGCUUUUGUGAGGGAAGAAACUCUGGGAUGCGUCCUGGACUGACGGUACCUUAUGAAUAAGCCUCGGCUAACUACGUGCCAGCAGCCGCGGUAAAACGUAGGAGGCGAGCGUUAUCCGGAUUUACUGGGCGUAAAGCGCGUGUAGGCGGUCUUGUAAGUUGGAUGUGAAAGCUCCUGGCUUAACUGGGAGAGGUCGUUCAAAACUGCAAGACUUGAGAGUGGUAGAGGGAGGUGGAAUUCCGGGUGUAGUGGUGAAAUGCGUAGAUAUCCGGAGGAACACCAGUGGCGAAAGCGGCCUCCUGGACCACUUCUGACGCUCAGACGCGAAAGCUAAGGUAGCAAACGGGAUUAGAGACCCCGGUAGUCUUAGCUGUAAACGAUGUGAACUUGGCGUCGGUGGGUUUAAAUCCAUCGGUGCCGAAGCAAACGCGAUAAGUUCACCGCCUGGGGACUACGGCCGCAAGGUUAAAACUCAAAGGAAUUGACGG